RNAcentral lists this unclassified non-coding RNA (88 nucleotides) under Flavobacterium saliperosum. Its description in RNAcentral is "Flavo-1 RNA". Lineage: Bacteria; Pseudomonadati; Bacteroidota; Flavobacteriia; Flavobacteriales; Flavobacteriaceae. The record is from RNAcentral.
UCCUAGCCCUGUCCCGAUGGUUAUCGGGAGGAGCGGUAUCUUUUAGACCUGAUAGGUUUUAAAAAUAUAGCGGACAACAGGAAACACG